CUCGGUUGAUCCUGCCGGACCUGACUGCUAUCGGAUUGGUACUAAGCCAUGCGAGUCGUUGUAGCAAUACAAGGCGGACGGCUCAGUAACACGUAGUCAACCUAACCUAUGGACGUGGAUAACCUCGGGAAACUGAGAAUAAACCGCGAUAGAUCAUUAUGCCUGGAAUGGCUUAUGGUUCAAACAAUUUAUUGCCGUAGGAUGGGACUGCGGCCUAUCAGCUUGUUGGUGAGGUAAUGGCCCACCAAGGCUAUAACAGGUACGGGCUCUGAGAGGAGAAGCCCGGAGAUGGGUACUGAGACACGGACCCAGGCCCUAUGGGGCGCAGCAGGCGAGAAACCUUAGCAAUGUGCGAAAGCACGACUAGGUUAAUCCGAGUGAUUUCUGUUGAAGAAAUCUUUUGUCAGUCGUAAAACCACAGACGAAUAAGGGGUGGGCAAGUCUGGUGUCAGCCGCCGCGGUAAUACCAGCACCUCGAGUGGUCAGGAGGUUUAUUGGGCCUAAAGCAUCCGUAGCCGGCUACGCAAGUCUCCGGUUAAAUCCAGCUGCUCAACAGAUGGGCUGCCGGAGAUACUACAUAGCUAGGGAGCGGGAGAGGUAGACGGUAUUCUGUGGGUAGGGGUAAAAUCCACUGAUCCAUAGAGGACCACCAGUGGCGAAGGCGGUCUACCAGAACGCGUUCGACGGUGAGGGAUGAAAGCUGGGGGAGCAAACCGGAUUAGAUACCCGGGUAGUCCCAGCUGUAAACGAUGCAAACUCGGUGAUGCAUUGGCUUAUGGCCAAUGCAGUGCCGCAGGGAAGCCGUUAAGUUUGCCGCCUGGGAAGUACGGACGCAAGUCUGAAACUUAAAGGAAUUGGCGGGGGAGCA
RNAcentral lists this ribosomal RNA (868 nucleotides) under uncultured archaeon. RNAcentral describes it as "bacterial SSU rRNA". It matches the Rfam family "Archaeal small subunit ribosomal RNA", at positions 1 to 878 of the family's 1478-position model. The record is from RNAcentral.